GAAACUGGAAUCCUCUUAGCUAUUGUCGUUACUCUGUUUCCUCUCUUUUACUGGUUGCUUCCAUCUCUCACUCUUAGGUCGUGAUCCAAGAGCCUUUUAACCCAAUCUCCUUUUAAAUAAGCCCUUUAGUUAGCAGCACAUUAUCCUCUGACCUGACCCCUCUCAUCAAAAAUACCAAACAAUGGAAUGACUGAGAAAGCUCCCCUACUCCCACAACUUAUGCUUGGCCUUUUUUUUUCCUCCAAGCACGCAAAGCUUUGC
Molecule: long non-coding RNA, 261 nt
Filed under: Phoenix dactylifera (date palm)
Lineage: Eukaryota; Viridiplantae; Streptophyta; Magnoliopsida; Arecales; Arecaceae
Description: long non-coding RNA (PDAC_LNC002711)
Source: RNAcentral